AACGAACGCUGGCGGCAUGCCUAACACAUGCAAGUCGAACGAGACCUUCGGGUCUAGUGGCGCACGGGUGCGUAACGCGUGGGAACCUGCCCUUAGGUUCGGAAUAACUCCCCGAAAGGGGUGCUAAUACCGGAUAAUGUCUUCGGACCAAAGAUUUAUCGCCUUUGGAGGGGCCGGCGUUGUUUUGACUGGUCGGUAGGGAAAAAGCCUACCAAGGAGAAGCUCGAUAGCGGGUUUGAGAGGAUGAUCAGCCACACUGGGACUGGGACACGGCCCAGACUCCUACGGGAGGCAGGAGUGGGGAAUAUUGGACAAUGGGCGAAAGCCUGAUCCAGCAAUGCCGCGUGAGUGAUGAAGGCCUUAGGGUUGUAAAGCUCUUUUACCCGGGAUGAUAAUGACAGUACCGGGAGAAUAAGCUCCGGCUAACUCCGUG
This 433-nucleotide ribosomal RNA is filed under the name uncultured bacterium. RNAcentral describes it as "partial 16S ribosomal RNA". It matches the Rfam family "Bacterial small subunit ribosomal RNA", at positions 29 to 507 of the family's 1533-position model. The record is from RNAcentral.